CCUUAGAUCGUACCCACAUUUACUUGGAUAACUGUGGUAAUUCUAGAGCUAAUACAUGCAAACCAGAGCUCCGACCAGAGAUGGAAGGAACGCUUUUAUUAGAUCAAAACCAAUCGGUGGCGAGUUUCCCUCGUCCAUCGUUAGCCUUGGUGACUCUGAAUAACUUUGUGCUGAUCGCACGGUCUCGUACCGGCGACGCAUCUUUCAAAUGUCUGCCUUAUCAACUGUCGAUGGUAGGUUUUGCGCCUACCAUGGUUGUAACGGGUAACGGGGAAUCAGGGUUCGAUUCCGGAGAGGGAGCCUGAGAAACGGCUACCACAUCCAAGGAAGGCAGCAGGCGCGCAAAUUACCCACUCCCGGCACGGGGAGGUAGUGACGAAAAAUAACGAUACGGGACUCAUCCGAGGCCCCGUAAUCGGAAUGAGUACACUUUAAAUCCUUUAACGAGUAUCCAUUGGAGGGCAAGUCUGGUGCCAGCAGCCGCGGUAAUUCCAGCUCCAAUAGCGUAUAUUAAAGUUGUUGCGGUUAAAAAGCUCGUAGUUGAAUCUGUGUGCCACGCUGUCGGUUCAUCGCUCGCGAUGUUUAACUGACAUGAUUGUGGGACGUCCUACCGGUGGACUUAGCCUCUAACUCUUCGGAGCUAGAGGCGGUCCAGCUAAUAUCCCAUCGCGGUGCUUUUCAUCGAGUGUCGAGGUGGGCCGGUACGUUUACUUUGAACAAAUUAGAGUGCUCAAAGCAGGCCAUCCUCGCCUGAAUACUGUGUGCAUGGAAUAAUGGAAUAGGACCUCGGUUCUAUUUUGUUGGUUUUCGGAACCCCGAGGUAAUGAUUAAUAGGGACAGAUGGGGGCAUUCGUAUUGCGACGUUAGAGGUGAAAUUCUUGGAUCGUCGCAAGACGGACAGAAGCGAAAGCAUUUGCCAAAAAUGUUUUCAUUAAUCAAGAACGAAAGUUAGAGGUUCGAAGGCGAUCAGAUACCGCCCUAGUUCUAACCAUAAACGAUGCCAGCUAGCGAUCCGCCGAAGUUCCUUUGAUGACUCGGCGGGCAGCUUCCGGGAAACCAAAGCUUUUGGGUUCCGGGGGAAGUAUGGUUGCAAAGCUGAAACUUAAAGGAAUUGACGGAAGGGCACCACCAGGAGUGGAGCCUGCGGCUUAAUUUGACUCAACAC
This 1165-nucleotide ribosomal RNA is filed under the name Neostilbula ranomafanae. RNAcentral's name for it is "SSU rRNA". It matches the Rfam family "Eukaryotic small subunit ribosomal RNA", at positions 118 to 1206 of the family's 1831-position model. Lineage: Eukaryota; Metazoa; Arthropoda; Insecta; Hymenoptera; Eucharitidae. The record is from RNAcentral.